CACCAAUGCUAGGGGUCCUGCGCCGUCAUCAACGGCGUGGGUGAGAAAUACCCUCCGAACCUGAUCUGGAUAAUGCCAGCGAAGGGAAGCUACAGAGUCAACGC
This 104-nucleotide non-coding RNA is filed under the name Massilia sp. Its description in RNAcentral is "TPP sequence". It matches the Rfam family "TPP riboswitch aptamer (THI element)". Rfam says of the family: Vitamin B(1) in its active form thiamin pyrophosphate (TPP) is an essential coenzyme that is synthesised by coupling of pyrimidine and thiazole moieties in bacteria. The previously detected thiamin-regulatory element, thi box was extended, resulting in a new, highly conserved RNA secondary structure, the THI element, which is widely distributed in eubacteria and also occurs in some archaea. The record is from RNAcentral. Lineage: Bacteria; Pseudomonadati; Pseudomonadota; Betaproteobacteria; Burkholderiales; Oxalobacteraceae.